UUGACCUCGAAUCAGGUAGGGAUACCCGCUGAACUUAAGCAUAUCAAUAAGCGGAGGAAAAGAAACCA
This 68-nucleotide ribosomal RNA is filed under the name Golovinomyces macrocarpus. RNAcentral's name for it is "partial 28S ribosomal RNA". It matches the Rfam family "Eukaryotic large subunit ribosomal RNA", at positions 1 to 67 of the family's 3401-position model. The record is from RNAcentral. Lineage: Eukaryota; Fungi; Ascomycota; Leotiomycetes; Helotiales; Erysiphaceae.